RNAcentral lists this ribosomal RNA (388 nucleotides) under uncultured bacterium. Its description in RNAcentral is "bacterial SSU rRNA". It matches the Rfam family "Bacterial small subunit ribosomal RNA", at positions 946 to 1335 of the family's 1533-position model. The record is from RNAcentral.
UUAACUUGAAGGAACCUUACCUGGGCUAGAAUGCCUUUGACAACUCCAGAGAUGGAGCCUCCUGGGGAAACCUAGGCAGAGUGCAAGGUGCUGCAUGGCUGUUGUCAGCUCGUGUCGUGAGAUGUUGGGUUAAGUCCCGCAACGAGCGCAACCCUUAUCAAUAGUUGCCAGCGGUUCGGCCGGGCACUCUAUUGAGACUGCCGUUGACAAAACGGAGGAAGGUGGGGAUGACGUCAAGUCCUCAUGGCCUUUAUGUCCAGGGCUACACACGUGCUACAAUGGCAGGUACAAAGCGCUGCAAACUCGCAAGGGGGAGCCAAUCGCAAAAAGCCGGUCUCAGUUCGGAUUGGAGUCUGCAACUCGACUCCAUGAAGCCGGAAUCGCGUAC